GUCAACGAUCACAUCUCAGAGCACAUAUAGGAAUAAACAAGAAAUCUAAAGUCACUUGGUGUGACCCGCAGGUCGGAUCCCAGGGACCCAGGUACCAGAGGCAUCCCAGAUACCCCCAGCACCCAAGGGACCACAGACAGGGCCCAGACUCCCUCAUCGUCAUCGGGGAUAUCGUGCACGUCGUCAACAUCUUUUGCCACCCCGAUGACGACCACACCAGCAGCAACUAGACGGACAGCAGUGGCACGUCAUCGAUCGGGGGGCGACGCUUAUGAAUUGACACUGGACUGUUCAAGCCUGGUGUGGAAAGUGCUGGGAGCUGGUUAGACUGUAUAAGUGGAGGGGGCGUAUCACUCCCGCAUCUCACGUUUCAUCGGACGUAACAUCAAAACCAGCUUUGAGUGAAGAUCACUGAUCAGCCCGAAUUCCCAGCCUUGGCCUAUCUCGGAAGCUUGACCACUGUUGCGGAAAGAUGCAGGCUGUCAAUAACAGCAACAGCAGCAGCACCUACAAUGGCAGCAGAACACCAGAGACUCGCUCAGAGGCAGCUACAACAGCAGCAGCUACAGCC
This 571-nucleotide long non-coding RNA is filed under the name Haliotis rufescens (red abalone). RNAcentral describes it as "uncharacterized LOC124117584, transcript variant X1". The record is from RNAcentral. Lineage: Eukaryota; Metazoa; Mollusca; Gastropoda; Lepetellida; Haliotidae.